CGGACGGGUGAGUAACGCGUGAGAAUCUAGCUUCAGGUCGGGGACAACCACUGGAAACGGUGGCUAAUACCGGAUGUGCCGAAAGGUGAAAGAUUUAUUGCCUGAAGAUGAGCUCGCGUCUGAUUAGCUAGUAGGUGUGGUAAGAGCGCACCUAGGCGACGAUCAGUAGCUGGUCUGAGAGGAUGAUCAGCCACACUGGGACUGAGACACGGCCCAGACUCCUACGGGAGGCAGCAGUGGGGAAUUUUCCGCAAUGGGCGAAAGCCUGACGGAGCAAUACCGCGUGAGGGAGGAAGGCUCUUGUGUUGUAAACCUCUUUUCUCAGGGAAUAAAAAAAUGAAGGUACCUGAGGAAUAAGCAUCGGCUAACUCCGUGCCAGCAGCCGCGGUAAUACGGAGGAUGCAAGCGUUAUCCGGAAUGAUUGGGCGUAAAGGGUCCGCAGGUGGCAAUGUAAGUCUGCUGUUAAAGAAUGAGGCUCAACCUCAUACCAGCAGUGGAAACUACAUAGCUAGAGUGCGUUCGGGGUAGAGGGAAUUCCUGGUGUAGCGGUGAAAUGCGUAGAUAUCAGGAAGAACACCAGUGGCGAAGGCGCUCUACUAGGCCGCAACUGACACUGAGGGACGAAAGCUAGGGGAGCGAAUGGGAUUAGAUACCCCAGCCUGAAUUC
This 667-nucleotide ribosomal RNA is filed under the name uncultured cyanobacterium. RNAcentral's name for it is "bacterial SSU rRNA". It matches the Rfam family "Bacterial small subunit ribosomal RNA", at positions 99 to 796 of the family's 1533-position model. Lineage: Bacteria; Bacillati; Cyanobacteriota. The record is from RNAcentral.